UACGGAAGGUCCGGGCGUUUUCCGGAUUUAUUGGGUUUAAAGGGAGCGCAGGCUGAUGGUUAAGCGUGACGUGAAAUGUAGCCGCUCAACGGCUGAACUGCGUCGCGAACUGGCUAUCUUGAGUGGGUACGACGUCAGCGGAAUUCGUGGUGUUGCGGUGAAAUGCUUAGAUAUCACGAAGAACCCCGAUUGCGAAGGCAGCUGGCGAGUCCUCUACUGACGCUAAAGCUCGAAGGUGCGGGUAUCGAAC
RNAcentral lists this ribosomal RNA (250 nucleotides) under uncultured prokaryote. RNAcentral describes it as "partial 16S ribosomal RNA". It matches the Rfam family "Bacterial small subunit ribosomal RNA", at positions 524 to 773 of the family's 1533-position model. The record is from RNAcentral.